Molecule: ribosomal RNA, 253 nt
Filed under: uncultured bacterium
Lineage: Bacteria
Description: partial 16S ribosomal RNA
Rfam family: Bacterial small subunit ribosomal RNA
Source: RNAcentral
UACGUAGGGGGCAAGCGUUGUCCGGAAUCAUUGGGCGUAAAGCGCGUGUAGGCGGCUAGGUAAGUCUGCUGUGAAAGCCCGGGGCUCAACCCCGGGAGGCGGGUGGAUACUGUCUAGCUCGAGUCCGGAAGAGGAGUGUGGAAUUCCUGGUGUAGCGGUGAAAUGCGCAGAUAUCAGGAGGAACACCAAUGGCGAAGGCAGCACUCUGGGACGUGACUGACGCUGAGACGCGAAAGCGUGGGGAGCAAACAGG